Molecule: non-coding RNA, 27 nt
Filed under: Homo sapiens (human)
Lineage: Eukaryota; Metazoa; Chordata; Mammalia; Primates; Hominidae
Source: RNAcentral
UGCAGGUCUAUCCGAUGCCUCAGGAUU